This is a non-coding RNA of Chinchilla lanigera (long-tailed chinchilla), 1150 nucleotides long. The record is from the annotation of a RefSeq genome assembly. Lineage: Eukaryota; Metazoa; Chordata; Mammalia; Rodentia; Chinchillidae.
UAUAAUCUAUAGAUAUCCUUUCUUCCUUCCUUCCUUGUGAAAGCACAGAAUGUGAGAAUUCUGUAUCUAGACAGCACAGAGGCUGAAAAUUAUGACCUAUAAAUUGAUUUUGUUAAAAAGAAGUUUAUAGAUAUUUAAAUCAGUCACCCUGAUUAGUGUUUUAUAAUGUAAAUUUGGUAUUACUGAGGUCGCAGGGAUUGUAAAGGAAAUGAUGUCACUGUCACUGCGGGAACCACCCUGUGGUAACAAAAGAUGCCUUUCCUUUUCUGUCUGACCUGGUGAGCCUCUGUCCUGAGCUGACCCUGCCAUGGAUACCAGGCUCCUCUCCUGGGUUACCCUCUGUCUUCUAGGGACAGAUCACACUGAAGCUGGAGUCUCCCAAUCCCCCAGUUACAGGGUCAUAAAGAAGGGACAGAAUGUAGCUUUCAGGUGUGACCCAAUAUCUGGUCAUAGUUUUCUUUACUGGUACCAACAGACCCUGGGACAAGGCCCAAAGUUCCUAAUGUACUUCCAGGAUGAACGUCCAGCAGACACCUCAGGGAUGCCUCCUGAGCGGUUCACUGCUGAGAGGCCUGAGGCCACCUUCUCCAAUCUGAAGAUCGAGGGUGCACAGCAGGGGGAUUCAGCUGUGUAUCUCUGUGCAAGCAGCCACAGUGAGCCGCAGCCACCUCCUUCCUGUUCACAAACCUCCUUGUCUCCUGGCAGUCCCUAGAGCCCCUAAAGAAAGUUGAGAGUAUGCUGUCUUUUGCGUAGAAAGUUACCACAGAAGAGCUCGGCAAGCGCUCUGGCUGUAAACAUGGGUGGAAGGAAUCCCUAAAGACCUGUUGGGUUCUAGAAGUCCUGAGCCAGUCCAACACUGCUGGUGAAGAUUGGAUGUCUUAGCACUGGCGAUCAGAGCAGCCACAGGCGGCUUGUUCUGUGACUUUGAAGUUGUUGCUCACCUGCAUCAGCUUGGGUCAUGCACAGUGUACCUGUCCUCGGCCCACCCCAUCUGCUGACACAUCCGGCUGCUGAAAGGCUGGAGGCUGCACAUACACUCCCUGUUUAGGACCCUCUUUUAUCACUGUCAAGGUGAAAGUUUUCUGCAACAUAGCAAAUUUGUUUUCCAUUUUGAAGUUAAAGUCUUUGCUGCAUUUGUGACAAUAAAUUA